This 447-nucleotide ribosomal RNA is filed under the name uncultured bacterium. RNAcentral describes it as "bacterial SSU rRNA". It matches the Rfam family "Bacterial small subunit ribosomal RNA", at positions 355 to 825 of the family's 1533-position model. The record is from RNAcentral.
UCGGGAAUUUUGGGCAAUGGGCGAAAGCCUGACCCAGCAACGCCGCGUGAAGGAUGAAGUAUUUCGGUAUGUAAACUUCGAAAGAAUGGGAAGAAUAAAUGACGGUACCAUUUAUAAGCUCCGGCUAACUACGUGCCAGCAGCCGCGGUAAUACGUAGGGAGCAAGCGUUGUUCGGAUUUACUGGGCGUAAAGGGCGCGUAGGCGGCGCGGUAAGUCACUUGUGAAAUCUCUGAGCUUAACUCAGAACGGCCAAGUGAUACUGCAGUGCUAGAGUGCAGAAGGGGCAAUCGGAAUUCUUGGUGUAGCGGUGAAAUGCGUAGAUAUCAAGAGGAACACCUGAGGUGAAGACGGGUUGCUGGGCUGACACUGACGCUGAGGCGCGAAAGCCAGGGGAGCAAACGGGAUUAGAUACCCUAGUAGUCCCUGAGCGGGCUGGCAAGGCGCAU